GACGAACGCUGGCGGCGUGCCUAAUACAUGCAAGUAGAACGCUGAAGAGAGGAGCUUACUCUUCUUGGAUGAGUUGCGAACGGGUGAGUAACGCGUAGGUAACCUGCCUUGUAGCGGGGGAUAACUAUUGGAAACGAUAGCUAAUACCGCAUAACAAUGGAUGACACAUGUCAUUUAUUUGAAAGGGGCAAUUGCUCCACUACAAGAUGGACCUGCGUUGUAUAGCUAGUAGGUGAGGUAAUGGCUCACCUAGGCGACGAUACAUAGCCGACCUGAGAGGGUGAUCGGCCACACUGGGACUGAGACACGGCCCAGACUCCUACGGGAGGCAGCAGUAGGGAAUCUUCGGCAAUGGGGGCAACCCUGACCGAGCAACGCCGCGUGAGUGAAGAAGGUUUUCGGAUCGUAAAGCUCUGUUGUAAGUCAAGAACGGGUGUGAGAGUGGAAAGUUCACACUGUGACGGUAGCUUACCAGAAAGGGACGGCUAACUACGUG
This 496-nucleotide ribosomal RNA is filed under the name uncultured bacterium. RNAcentral describes it as "partial 16S ribosomal RNA". It matches the Rfam family "Bacterial small subunit ribosomal RNA", at positions 28 to 507 of the family's 1533-position model. The record is from RNAcentral.